UACUAGGAUAAAAGAACAAGUGAUUUCAGUUUUGGUGCCCAGGAUCUGUUAUUUCCACUGCAUUAUCAGUUCUGGGUGAAAGAGCACUAUUUAUGCACAUAGAGCUACACAAACUCCUGCAGAUACAACGGGUAACGAUCAAAUUGUACAUUCCCUUCUUAAUUCAGAGUGAUCAGCAUCGAUGGCCUAUGAAUUGAGAUUUGUUUUCUUAGUUUGUUUCUUUGUUUGUUGCUUUGGCGAUGGCAGAUUUUUCUUCUAUUCUGUUUUAAUCAAAAGCUUUUCUUUCAGAAGAAAGAAAAGAGAAGAUGACAGAACCCUCCCUGAAAAGCAAGCACAAGGGACUAAGCCUUUCCCAAGAGCUCUUCUCAUUUUUCUCAACUCACACACAGCAGUACACAGUUUAACCAAAAAGGUACAGCCCCACACACCACUGGUACCAGCUGAGAAACCCCUGAGGUGGAGAGCAGAAGGCAUGACGUACCCCUGGAUGCCCAAAGAUUGUCCAGCCGAGGAUUUGUAACUUAUGCUGCUGACAGAUCCUGACCUUCAGAGCAAGACUGCAAGGACAAGGGUCGGGGAGUCUGACUCAUUCUCAAGCUCUAUAUUAAAUCUGUCUCACCCAGGAUAUCUAAUGCCUCGCUGUUUACAGAAUCAGUGUCUGGUUUAUUAUCUUCUAAUAUAAUAUUUUUGUAAUUGGGAGCCUGUAUAUUUUUGAUAUGAUCUGAAGGCAGUGACUAACACAAGGCCAUCACCCCGUCUUGCCUGGAGUCACUGGCUGCAAAUGGGCACAGGUUUACACCCCCACGCAAUCAGCCACAGGGUUAGGGCCCUGCCUUCUAUUCAUCACACACACAAAUCAGGGAGGCACAGAUCAGCAAGAAAGGCCUUCACGAGAGAACUUCUGAAAAAUUUCUGGCAUACAGAGUUUUAUGUUUCACGUUUGUGUCCUAUGAGGGGGGAGAGGGCAGUAGUGCUUGAGCUGAAAUGGGGAGAUAUAGGGAGGUUGGAAUGAAAAGUUUUAAGCAGAAAAAACACUUAGUAGCACCUAGUCCCCAGGUAAAGAAAGGCAAAAUGCCUUCACUCCAGUUUUCCUAAUCAAAUUAGACAGAUUUGCAAGGUAUAGAGUAUUUCUUGCUUGUGGAAACAGAUAAUUGCCCAGUUUGCAACAGCAGCGACCUGCUACUGUGCUGACUAGGGCAGUUUAAACAUAGAAGUCAUCCACAGUGGCCUCAAGCUCCUAGAUAAGUAGUGAAAUUCAUCUAGACCCCAAUUGGCUUUUGUAAGGAAAGCUUAAAAAUCUCUGUGUCUUAAAAUUAAGUUACCAAGCCAAUGCUCCAUCUCUAAAGUGACAUUUCACCUUGCUUGGGUGUCCUGUGAAUUGCAAUACCUCGAGCUGAUGCAGCUAAAAGAACAAGUAGAGAAGACAGAAAGAGCCAUUACCACAGCCCUUAUUAGCCAUUCCCGAGCAUGGCAGCUGUCAGUCCUUGGGUCUGCCUCUGCUGCAAUUAUCUGCCUCAAGCAAUCUGAUCCAAAUGGAUUAUUUGGAUUCUUCAGUUUGUUACACACCAAAAACCAAGGGCAGGAGAUAUGCCACAUGCCCUGGCACAGAACAGAAUAAGCUCACUAAGCUAAAGCUACAAAUAAUACUCACUUUGAAAUAUGUUACAUGAGAACAAGUAUUUUAGUGUAAGACCUGUUACACUGAAAUGAACCUAAAGCGGAAAGAAUUUAAGCUGAAAAUAUUUUUAUUUCAUGGUAUUAGCAUGUAUUAUGUGUUUUUGACUAAAACUCAGAAGUUCAUACAUGUAAAUUUAUCUUCUGUUACAAAUCACAUGGGUUACAGAUGUUCCUGCUGCCCCUUGAGUGUCAAGCUGAACUCAAUCCCAAACCCUCAAAGGUGAAUCCAGUCAACAUUUAAAUCUGAAACUACAUAAAAACUACAUAAUUUGAAACUACAUAAACACCUUCAUGUGGUUGUGCUCCCAGCCUGAAAUGUGUCACACCAAAUUGCAAUGCUCAGCUUCAUUACCUGAAAUUCACACAGAGCAAAGAUCCUUGUUAUUCAGUAGACAACUGUCACUCAUAACAUGCAGCAUAUUUGGUAUCUGAGAGACUGAAUGCAUUUUCUAUUAAAAUGCAAACAAAAAUCUAACCCCCCUAUAUCAUUAACUCAAAAUGUGUUAAUAAUCCAGGUGGAUUAUUUCAUGUUUGAUCCUAGGGAUUCAGAAUAGAGCCCAACUCAUUUAUCCACAGCUGCAUCACCAUUACUGGCAUAUCAGGCACACACACACAAAUUUAUGGGACUGUGUCAUUUGGUCAGUAACAUAAAUAUAUCUGAUUAACAGCCACAAAUGGCUGACCUAUUGACUAAAACUGUGCCAUCAUCUCCCCAGAGCCAACUUGCUUUUUUUUUCUUUCACUACUGUCCUUUACAUUGAAAAUAGCUUUUGCUGACUGAAAUCUCCAAUCUUUUUUUUCAUGAAGAAAAGCCUUUGUAACCACAAAAAACAAGUAACAACUCAAGAAGAGAUAAGAGAAUUUUAAAAUAUUAAACCACUAUUUUUCAUGUCUGUAUCUGUUGAAAGUUAGAUGGUUGUGUGUCUUGAAGAUUAAAUGUUUUAAUUGAAAAUUUCCUGAGGUUUAUAAGCAGUUUUUUCAUUCGAUCCCUAUUUUUCUUAUUACUAGCAUUUAUUAAUAUAGGAUACAAUGGAAUAUAACAAGCUAGGAAGUGAUGGCCUUGCUAAAGCUGAAUUUGGCAGAAUGCUGAUAUUCUCUCUGCUGGUAGAGAAUGUGCAAUAAAAAUAUAAAACCGGUGGGAAUUCA
RNAcentral lists this long non-coding RNA (2823 nucleotides) under Anas platyrhynchos platyrhynchos (common mallard). RNAcentral's name for it is "lncRNA (ENSAPLG00000017471.1)". The record is from RNAcentral. Lineage: Eukaryota; Metazoa; Chordata; Aves; Anseriformes; Anatidae.